GGGGAAUAUUGCACAAUGGGGGAAACCCUGAUGCAGCGACGCCGCGUGAGUGAAGAAGUAUUUCGGUAUGUAAAGCUCUAUCAGCAGGGACGAUAAUGACGGUACCUGACUAAGAAGCCCCGGCUAACUACGUGCCAGCAGCCGCGGUAAUACGUAGGGGGCAAGCGUUAUCCGGAUUUACUGGGUGUAAAGGGAGCGUAGGUGGCUGGAUAAGUCAGAUGUGAAAGCCCAGGGCUCAACCCUGGGACUGCAUUUGAAACUAUCUGGCUAGAGUGCAGGAGAGGUAAGUGGAAUUCCUAGUGUAGCGGUGAAAUGCGUAGAUAUUAGGAGGAACACCAGUGGCGAAGGCGGCUUACUGGACUGUAACUGACACUGAGGCUCGAAAGCGUGGGGAGCAAAC
RNAcentral lists this ribosomal RNA (400 nucleotides) under uncultured bacterium. RNAcentral describes it as "bacterial SSU rRNA". It matches the Rfam family "Bacterial small subunit ribosomal RNA", at positions 356 to 773 of the family's 1533-position model. The record is from RNAcentral.